GCCUCCUCGUGGGCAGACAGCACAGUCAGGCAGGGUGGUCGAGAGGGGGCAGGGUCCUUUGACUCUGGCUCCUCCUGGAACAAGGGAGAUGGGCUUUGAAGAAAGAGCAGGUGACUCUCGGGCUGGGCUCGCCCAUGUGGGAACGGAGAGGGCAGCUCAAAUGGGUGGGAGAUGGAUCCUGGUGGAAAGCACACAGCCUGAGUGGAUAGUGUGUGGCGUGAACCUGGCCGAAAGCGACCAGACAUGGGUCCUGCUGCCAUCCACACUGCAGUGAAGCUUUGAGGCCUUGGACCACGGGGCCACACAGCUACUGGAGACUUUAAGCUUCAUUUUACCCAGUUAUGGGGGCUGGAUUAUUUCCUAGCCGAAUGGAGUGGCUUCUCAGCCAUUGCUGAAACGUCUGGUUCCACAUGACGCACGUUGGACUGUCAAGACUCUUACACAUCAGGUCCUCACAGACUCCCUGGUGCACUGUGUCCUCAUGAGCGGCCAGGUCUUUCUUCUGCCUCAUUUGUGUGACCAUGCAGACGCCACACUGCAAAUCCAGGGUGCCCUAAGCUCCCGUCACCCUGACGUGGUGGCUGUGAUACUAAAAGGGAGUGGAUUGCUCAAUAAAGAUGGCGGUGGCCAUGGCGUCGGGCUGGCACUCACAAGAACCACUCCAACCUAGACGUUAGCUACAGUGACUGAGCUUUGGUUGGAGCCCAUAGCCCAUCCUACUCUGUGAACAGCUAACUGGUUAAGCUGUAACUGGCUGACUAGUUGGCCAACUAGGUUUUUGUCUAUGCCACGCGCGUGUUUGUGUCACUGCUGUCUGGUCCUGUUGUUGGAGUUCUCAGAACCUGCUCUCUUGUUCCGCCUGCUCCAAUAAACCACAGAGCUUAGUGGGAUGAAGGGACUUUCAGCUGUGUGGGAUGAGGGGCAGCAGAUACCUGGGCCAAGUGCUGUUGGCGGAUGCACAGAGAUGGCCAACCCUUGCUCUGACACACAAGACUUCUGUCCUUUAAGAUUGUCCAGCACUGGGUCCUGCAGGAAGCAGCUGGAGUGAAUGAGGAGCAGGUGUGCCCAGGACAGGGCUCUGGCUCCCCCUGUGACCUCACUAGGACCAGCCUUCGAGUCCCAGCCUCUUUGUUCACUGCCCUGGGCCUCACCUCUCUCUGAUCUGGGG
This is a long non-coding RNA of Heterocephalus glaber (naked mole-rat), 1168 nucleotides long. The record is from Ensembl. NCBI's taxonomy places the organism in Eukaryota, Metazoa, Chordata, Mammalia, Rodentia, Bathyergidae.